AAUUAGUAUUUCCGGGGUCGUGGUUGUCUCGUAGUCACGCUGCCAGUGCCAAAACCAAAACCAAACAGUUGACAGUCACUAACAGACGAAUAGGUGGCGUUUAGAGUUAUGUGGUGGUGUUUUUCUUGAGGCUCAGAGAAGCACAGUUAUGAAGAAUAGAGGUGCAGGUUGGCUGGAUGGUCGGCUCAGACAGAGAGUGGAGCAGUAUCUGGCGUCCAGCAACAGUGAAUAUGUGGACCUGUCGGCCUUGGCAGAGGAGCUUCAGAAACUGUACAGAAUGGAAUAUGGCAGAAGGAACAAGACAGCUUUCAGGAUUCAAGUGGAGAAAGUGUAUGAAGCAAUCAUGAAGGAGUCUGGGCUGAACGACCUGGAGAGCAAACACUUGGCUAAGAGAGCCAAGCACAGCCACAAUGACACUGGUGAUGGUGGCAGCAGCAGCUCAGAAGAGUCCUCCGACAGUGAUGACCACAUUCUGGAGAACACUCCCACCAACCACAUGAACAGCUCUCUAACAUCCCUGUACCGAAAGGGACAGCCUGACUCCAGCACCUGCUCACCCAGGAGAGAUCAGCCUGCUGCCGGCAGUCCCGCCAGCACGGCCAAUCCCCCUCCCAGUGCAGGGACGCUGGUUUCCACAGGAGGCUGGUUCAUUGAUAGAGGCAGGGGCCCCGAGAAGAGCAUCCUCAUCGACCUGUGUGAAGAGGAGCCAAGUAAUGCAGCAACAAAUCAGACAGAUGUCUCCAUGCUGGAGCCUGACAAAUCUCACAAAAAGUCCAAAAGAAGGACAAAGAAAUCCACUGAAACUACAGAGUCUCGCACCCUGAACAAGACAGCAAAAUCAAAGUCACCGGAGCUGCAGUAUCCCACUCUGAAGUUUGAAGAUGUAGGAGGGAAUGAAGAGACGUUAACGGAGGUCUGUAAGCUGCUGAUCCACAUUCGUCACCCUGAGGUGUACCAGCAGCUGGGAAUGGUUCCUCCGAGGGGCUUCCUCCUCCACGGACCUCCUGGCUGUGGAAAGACCCUUCUGGCCCAGGCUGUGGCUGGGGAGCUGCAGCUGCCCAUGUUGAAGGUGUCUGCUCCAGAGCUGGUGUCUGGAGUGUCUGGGGAGUCUGAACAGAAGCUCAGAGAGCUGUUUGACCUGGCUGUGAGCUCUGCCCCAUGUAUCCUGUUCAUAGAUGAGAUAGAUGCCAUCACCCCCAAGAGAGAGGUGGCCUCCAAAGACAUGGAGAGGAGGAUUGUAGCCCAGCUGCUAACCUGCAUGGACGACUUGAACAGUCUGACAGUGACAGCUCAGGUACUGGUCAUCGGUGCCACCAACAGGCCAGACUCCCUGGACCCCGCCCUCCGCAGAGCCGGACGCUUCGACAAAGAGAUCUGCCUGGGUAUCCCCGAUGAAGCAGCUCGUCUCAGGAUCUUAAAGACAUUGUGUCGAAAGCUGAAGCUGCCGGUGGACUUUGACUACCAGCAGCUUGCCCGGCUCACCCCGGGCUACGUGGGCGCAGACCUCAUGGCUCUGUGCCGCGAAGCUGCCAUGAGCGCUGUAAACCGGGCUCUGCUGGACAUUAGGGGACAGCCCCGGAGCCAAAGCCAGAGCUCCACUGAAGAUCUGUUACCAAGCACAGUUCAGUCUGAUGCUGCUGCGAUAGACGGAGAGGCCGCAGAGCAACAGACAACGAUCAACCCAGUACCUCAGAAAGAGUUGGGACAGAAGCACCUGCAGCAGGGGGAGCUGUGGCAGCUGCUUGACCUGCUGAAGAACACAGAGAUGCUGUCAGAGGAAGAGCUGGCAAGCCUGUCCAUCCUCAUGUCAGACUUCCAGGCCUCUCUGGCCAGUGUCCAGCCCUCAGCCAAGAGGGAGGGCUUCGCCACCGUGCCUGAUGUCACCUGGGAGGAUGUGGGCGCCCUGCAGGACAUCAGGGAGGAGCUCACCAUGGCCAUACUGGCUCCAGUGCGUUCUCCAGAGCAGUUCAAAGCCCUGGGGCUCAGUGCUCCAUCUGGUGUGCUGCUCGCUGGUCCUCCAGGAUGUGGAAAAACACUGCUGGCCAAGGCAGUGGCCAAUGAGUCAGGCCUCAACUUCAUCUCUGUCAAGGGUCCAGAGCUGCUCAACAUGUAUGUGGGAGAAAGUGAGCGGGCUGUCAGACAGGUCUUCCAGAGAGGACGCAACUCGGCUCCUUGUGUCAUCUUCUUUGAUGAGAUCGAUGCUCUGUGUCCUCGGCGCUCAGGCCAUGAGUCAGGAGCCAGUGUGCGGGUGGUCAACCAGCUGCUCACAGAGAUGGACGGCUUAGAGACUCGACGGCAGGUCUUCAUCAUGGCUGCAACCAACAGACCAGAUAUCAUCGACCCUGCCAUACUGAGGCCAGGGCGGCUAGAUAAAACCUUGUAUGUGGGUCUCCCACCUCCAGCAGACCGCCAUGCCAUCCUACUCACCAUUACUAAGGGGGGAACCAAACCUCAGCUGGAGCAGGAUGUCUCUCUGGAAGAGAUCGCCUUCGACGAGCGCUGUGAUUGCUUCACUGGAGCUGACCUGACUGCGUUAGUGAGGGAAGCAUCUAUUAAUGCUCUGAGGGCCUACCUGAAGUCUCAGCAUUCCCCAGCUUCUUUUUCCGAAUGCAGCAUAUACCAAGCAGGAACGUGUCUCAUGCUGAGGUGUUCCACACAGGUCACACAUACUGCUCUGGCUCUGUCACUGACAUGAGAGUGAACAAACAGAACUUUGAUGAUGCCUUCAAGAAAGUCCGUCCAUCUGUGUCCAAAAAGGACCAGAGGAUGUACGAGCAGCUCAGAGACUCCCUCAGCAGAUAAGUUCCAUCCCAGAACCACCAACAUCACCAGCAACAGUUCAACUUGUACACUGACUUGUUUAAUGAAUCAUUCUGUCAUGUAUGUAUACAGAUGCAUUAUGGUUGAAUCUGCUUUUAUAAUAAAAGUUGUUUGUAGAAACCAAA
Molecule: RNA transcript, 2945 nt
Organism: Micropterus dolomieu (smallmouth bass)
Lineage: Eukaryota; Metazoa; Chordata; Actinopteri; Centrarchiformes; Centrarchidae
Gene: nvl
Gene name: nuclear VCP like
Exons: 24
Source: RefSeq, a predicted model, not a curated record